AAAAGAACCCAGGACCUCAAGCUGGGGGGUUGCAAUUGCUCUACCAGUGAGCCACACCUCAGCCUAUUCCCAUUUUAAAAGAGGUGGAAAUCAAGGCACCGGGUGAGGUGGGGUGGGGAUUAAAUGACCUUCCCCACCUCACACAGUUUGAGAAGAAGCCCAGCUGCGAUUUGUCCCCAGGCAAUCUAAGGCAGUAGUGGCAGUAGCAUUUUACCUCCGGCAAUACCAUCCCUCCCUGACUGGACUGUGCAACUGGUUUUGAGUAUCCUUCAUAUGCAAGAGAAACCUUCCUUAGAGCCGGUGUACAUCAUUCUCCAUUACCCUUUGAUCCAGGGGAAACCUGAUGGGGAGAGCGAAGCUAGGGAUAGUCACACCUGGUGUAAACUCGGCAUCGGUGCAACAGCUGUCUAUGCCUCAGAGGUGUGAACAGCCAUAGGGCUAUUCGCCUACGGAAUGAAGAGUGAAACCCCAGGAAGUGCCGCAAAAGAAAAGUUUGAAGAUGGGAGGGUGCGAUCAGAAAAGUGCGCCGUCCUAAAAUCAAAAAGUCUUGGAGUUGACAUCACGGCCACAGGCCACGCGGGUUGCCAGUACUGCAGAGCGCGCUCCCCUACAACCGCAGGUCCUCUCUUCUUCUGGUGGCAACAGGGCUUUCCGCGGGGCCGCGCCAGACUUUUUGAGACUGUUGAUUGGCCGUAGUCCGGCCACCCGACAGCCAAUCAUGCAGAGGAAAGGUGACAUCACUAGUUCUCCUCCCAUCCCCCUACCCCAAAAACUUCUCUACUCUGGUUUACCAGCACCAACAACCACGUGGGGGAGGGGUAAGAGA
Molecule: long non-coding RNA, 826 nt
Organism: Mus pahari (shrew mouse)
Lineage: Eukaryota; Metazoa; Chordata; Mammalia; Rodentia; Muridae
Exons: 3
Source: RefSeq, a predicted model, not a curated record